This is a long non-coding RNA of Fundulus heteroclitus (mummichog), 258 nucleotides long. RefSeq lists it as uncharacterized. NCBI's taxonomy places the organism in Eukaryota, Metazoa, Chordata, Actinopteri, Cyprinodontiformes, Fundulidae. The transcript has 2 exons. The record is from RefSeq and is a predicted model, not a curated record.
GUUAAACAGUCUUUAAAGCUAACAUGUUUGUGAGUUGUUCAACGGUGAAUGGAAUGUUUUUUUAUGGAGUGAAAGAGUUUUACUGUCGCAGCAUUUCUGUGAAUGAGCCGACCGUUUUUCCCGCGCAAUGCUAAAUUUCUUUUGCUCCCUUUGUCAUGGGCAGGUGGGCUGAUGUCGGCUGGGUAUGAUAUUUGCUGCUGAACAGUUUUCAUAUCACUCUGUACAGAAUAAAUACGCCAUCAGUAGGCUGACCUGGAA